This 480-nucleotide unclassified non-coding RNA is filed under the name Bombus terrestris (buff-tailed bumblebee). RNAcentral describes it as "misc RNA ENSBTSG00005024543.1". The record is from RNAcentral. Lineage: Eukaryota; Metazoa; Arthropoda; Insecta; Hymenoptera; Apidae.
GACCUCACUAAGAAAAUAAGUUCUACGUGCCAGAUAUGUAAAAAAGACUACCAAUAGCGACUCUGUCCUGCGUCUUUCGCCCAAUCGAAAGUACCAUCUGUCGGAGGUCCACCUGCUGUGACGCUUUGGGGGUCUGUCGUAGGAAGUCCUUGCAUAUCCUGCACACCUUGGAACAAUUUGCCUGGGAACCCAUGCAACAAAUCGUAGGAAACAGGUGUGGGUGGUAAAGCAGUGGUGUGAGCGUGUGGCGACUGUAAAACCGCUAUUACUCUUCUCAGUUCCUCCAAAGCGUUCCCUGUAUGAUUUGUACCUUGCAUGAGAAUAUAAUUUUUCGCCAAGAGGAGAGUUGCAAUCUUGGACAAUUUUCUUACGGACGGACUAUGGGCGUAAGGAAUCACGGAUCGAAGUUCAUCAAGUGCAUCGUUCAAAUCGUGCAUUCUUCUGCGUUCCCUGGCGUUAAUGUUCAAUCGCAUGCUUUUC